This 1012-nucleotide ribosomal RNA is filed under the name uncultured bacterium. RNAcentral's name for it is "bacterial SSU rRNA". It matches the Rfam family "Bacterial small subunit ribosomal RNA", at positions 29 to 1047 of the family's 1533-position model. The record is from RNAcentral.
UGGAGCGUGGCGCGGCUACACAUGCAAGUCGAGCGGAUGAAGAGAGCUUGCUCUCUGAUUCAGCGGCGGACGGGUGAGUAAUGCCUAGGAAUCUGCCUGAUAGUGGGGGACAACGUUUCGAAAGGAACGCUAAUACCGCACACGUCCUACGGGAGAAAGCAGGGGACCUUCGGGCCUUGCGCUAUCAGAUAAGCCUAGGUCGGAUUAGCUAGUUGGUGAGGUAACGGCUCACCAAGGCGACGAUCCGUAACUGGUCUGAGAGGAUGAUCAGUCACACUGGAACUGAGACACGGUCCAGACUCCUACGGGAGGCAGCAGUGGGGAAUAUUGGACAAUGGGCGAAAGCCUGAUCCAGCCAUGCCGCGUGUGUGAAGAAGGUCUUCGGAUUGUAAAGCACUUUAAGUUGGGAGGAAGGGCAUUAACCUAAUACGUUAGUGUUUUGACGUUACCGACAGAAUAAGCACCGGCUAACUUCGUGCCAGCAGCCGCGGUAAUACGAAGGGUGCAAGCGUUAAUCGGAAUUACUGGGCGUAAAGCGCGCGUAGGUGGUUUGUUAAGUUGAAUGUGAAAGCCCCGGGCUCAACCUGGGAACUGCAUCCAAAACUGGCAAGCUAGAGUAUGGCAGAGGGUGGUGGAAUUUCCUGUGUAGCGGUGAAAUGCGUAGAUAUAGGAAGGAACACCAGUGGCGAAGGCGACCACCUGGGCUAAUACUGACACUGAGGUGCGAAAGCGUGGGGAGCAAACAGGAUUAGAUACCCUGGUAGUCCACGCCGUAAACGAUGUCGACUAGCCGUUGGGAUCUUUGAGAUCUUAGUGGCGCAGCUAACGCAUUAAGUCGACCGCCUGGGGAGUACGGCCGCAAGGUUAAAACUCAAAUGAAUUGACGGGGGCCCGCACAAGCGGUGGAGCAUGUGUUUAUUCGAGCAACGCGAGACCUUACCAGGCCUUGACAUGCAGAGAACUUUCCAGAGAUGGAUUGUGCCUUCGGGAACUCUGACCAAAGUGCUGCAUG